Molecule: ribosomal RNA, 1003 nt
Filed under: Brucella rhizosphaerae SJY1
Lineage: Bacteria; Pseudomonadati; Pseudomonadota; Alphaproteobacteria; Hyphomicrobiales; Brucellaceae
Description: bacterial SSU rRNA
Rfam family: Bacterial small subunit ribosomal RNA
Source: RNAcentral
AGAGUUUGAUCCUGGCUCAGGACGAACGCUGGCUGCGUGCUUAACACAUGCAAGUCGAACGCUGAAGCCCCAGCUUGCUGGGGUGGAUGAGUGGCGAACGGGUGAGUAACACGUGAGUAACCUGCCCCUGACUUCGGGAUAAGCCCGGGAAACUGGGUCUAAUACCGGAUACGACCUGUCCUCGCAUGAGGGUGGGUGGAAAGUUUUUUCGGUUGGGGAUGGGCUCGCGGCCUAUCAGUUUGUUGGUGAGGUAAUGGCUCACCAAGACGACGACGGGUAGCCGGCCUGAGAGGGCGACCGGCCACACUGGGACUGAGACACGGCCCAGACUCCUACGGGAGGCAGCAGUGGGGAAUAUUGCACAAUGGGGGAAACCCUGAUGCAGCGACGCAGCGUGCGGGAUGACGGCCUUCGGGUUGUAAACCGCUUUCAGCAGGGAAGAAGCGAAAGUGACGGUACCUGCAGAAGAAGUACCGGCUAACUACGUGCCAGCAGCCGCGGUAAUACGUAGGGUACGAGCGUUGUCCGGAAUUAUUGGGCGUAAAGAGCUCGUAGGUGGUUGGUCACGUCUGCUGUGGAAACGCAACGCUUAACGUUGCGCGUGCAGUGGGUACGGGCUGACUAGAGUGCAGUAGGGGAGUCUGGAAUUCCUGGUGUAGCGGUGAAAUGCGCAGAUAUCAGGAGGAACACCGGUGGCGAAGGCGGGACUCUGGGCUGUAACUGACACUGAGGAGCGAAAGCAUGGGGAGCGAACAGGAUUAGAUACCCUGGUAGUCCAUGCCGUAAACGUUGGGCACUAGGUGUGGGGGACAUUCCACGUUCUCCGCGCCGUAGCUAACGCAUUAAGUGCCCCGCCUGGGGAGUACGGUCGCAAGGCUAAAACUCAAAGGAAUUGACGGGGGCCCGCACAAGCGGCGGAGCAUGCGGAUUAAUUCGAUGCAACGCGAAGAACCUUACCAAGGCUUGACAUACACCAGACCGGCUUGGAAACAGGUCUUCCCCU